Long non-coding RNA from Clupea harengus (Atlantic herring), 1930 nucleotides. NCBI's taxonomy places the organism in Eukaryota, Metazoa, Chordata, Actinopteri, Clupeiformes, Clupeidae. The record is from Ensembl.
CACAUCGCCCCUGAUAAUCCGGCACUGCUACGCAGUAAAAUCAAUUGCGCAAUAUGAUAUAGGUUGCCAUAUUGACAAAUGGGUUGAAUAUGGUAUAGUGUAUUUAUUGUGUAAGACAUGAUUGCGUUUCAUACAGAAAUGACAUAACGGAAGGGGGCGGGAGAUGGGUCAGAGAGUACGGGAGAAACCCGGGAAAAACGGGAGAGUUGGCAGGUAUGGUCUGCGUAUUAGAGCGUAUGGGAAAGUUAACGAAAAGUAACAGCCCCAUACACACAUAAUGAAAGGACUAAAGGAGACAUCAAUUAUUUUUCCCUGGACAGCCGUGAGUGUGACGACAAAGGAGAGGUCACUCCAGAGACUGUUCAGAAACCGAAACACCUCAACCAAAAACCUUUCACUUCCAGUCUCCAAACCUGUCACCUUUUUCCAUUCUGGCUGAGAGCGUUUAUAAGAAAAAUGGUAGACUGCUGAGAUAGUGGCCCUUUUGUGAGGUUGACCACAAAACUACAAUGAAUCACAUGAGGAGUAUUUCAUGAGGAGAUGAUUGUUGAUGAUUUUCAUGUGUCACAUCAUGUGACGAGUGGGAAAUCCUCCACCAUAAAAACACUGCUAAUUAUAAUACUACAGUGUCGAUUUGUUGCUGCUACAGACCCCAACUGUCCGUAUAUCCCAAUCAUUAAGGAGUGGGGUGUACCAGCCUGUUACACAGAACUACAUAAGGCAUAUCCUGGAUGGCUAGUGGGGAAGACACAGAUCAGCUGUGACGAUCUCCUACGGGCCCUUGUUAACAGCUACUGCAUGAACAGGAAUUGCAGUGAUGAUAAGCCCAAUACGUCUUGCAAUGAAACUAAUAAAAAAACAAAGACGUUGAUUUACUGCUUGAAUGAUAAUUAUUCUAUCUCCUGCCAGGAGCCCCUAGGGUUUCAAAACCCAAGGAUAUAUAUGUUAGUGAAUGAUACAGAUUUCACCCAUAACAUUCAAGGUUGUCUCAUGGACAAGGUGCCAGGUACAACAGCAUCCACCACCUGUACUAUGACCACCACCACCACGACAUCUCGUAUCAUCACAGAUAGUACACAGUCCCCAACGCCUUCCCAUGCCUCUCACACCUCAGAACAAUUUAGUGCGACAUCUGGAUAUGGUAUGCUGGUCAUACUGUUGACAUCUCUGGGUUUAAACAUAACAUUGUCAUGGUUGUUACUGAAGCAGAGAAGCCGCCACCAACAGCAACCCAUAAACCUAAGUCUAGACUAUGUUGGAGCUCCUGGAGAAGCUGAAGCAGAGUCGUUAGCGGGUGAUUCCCUGCCCUAGAACUGGCUGCCUACUCCAGUGUUCUAGAGACAUCAGUAACAGUGUUCCAGAGACGGCAGAUGGAUUACAGAGGACGGGCCUGCUGUACUCCCAACACUGUCUCCAUGAGAGACUGCCAAUCCACCAGUCUGUGACUACAGAGACUGUUACUGUCAAACACCUGCAUCAGGACACCCUCAGACCGGUCUUUGGCUAUGGACUAGAGACCUCAACAGGAGAACCAACCUCAGUCACAACAUGAGCCCCACACCAUUCCACAGACAUUGACAGACCUGCAUGUGAAGCAUGUUCAGAUACUAUGGCACAUUAGGGCCCGUUUCACACUGCCUGCGUUGAGUGUGUGUGGUGGCUGCGUUACCUGUUGAUUUUCAUGUCAGUGCCCUUGCUAACAGGUUAGAACAUGCACAAUGCUUGACUGAGAUGUGCAGUCAUAUCGAGUCGAGUUUCAGUGUGGCGACUAUUUGUUACACGUGAGAUAAGAUAAUCUCAGUAAAAAAGACAUGUUGACAUUAUACCACCAACCAACAUUAUAACUGGCGUCUUUCAUUGCAGUUUCGAGGUAUGGGCUAUAUCGCACAGACAUGACAGAAAUAUAAAUGUCCCUCUCUCACUUAUCAUG